GUGCUCAGUUUGGCAGCACAUAUACUAAAAUUGGAUACAGAGAAGAUAAACAUGGCCCCUGCCCAGGGAUGACACCCAAAUAACAUAUAAGAAAAAUGACAAU
Hyaena hyaena (striped hyena) is the source of this 103-nucleotide small nuclear RNA. NCBI's taxonomy places the organism in Eukaryota, Metazoa, Chordata, Mammalia, Carnivora, Hyaenidae. The record is from RefSeq and is a predicted model, not a curated record.